RNAcentral lists this ribosomal RNA (469 nucleotides) under uncultured bacterium. RNAcentral describes it as "bacterial SSU rRNA". It matches the Rfam family "Bacterial small subunit ribosomal RNA", at positions 335 to 803 of the family's 1533-position model. The record is from RNAcentral.
ACUCCUACGGGAGGCAGCAGUGGGGAAUAUUGCACAAUGGGCGCAAGCCUGAUGCAGCCAUGCCGCGUGUGUGAAGAAGGCCUUGGGUUGUAAAGCACUUUCAGUCGUGAGGAAGGUAGUGUAGUUAAUAGCUGCAUUAUUUGACGUUAGCGACAGAAGAAGCACCGGCUAACUCCGUGCCAGCAGCCGCGGUAAUACGGAGGGUGCGAGCGUUAAUCGGUAAUUACUGGGCGUAAAGCGCAUGCAGGUGGUUGUUAAGUCAGAUGUGAAAGCCCGGGGCUCAACCUCGGAAUAGCAUUUGAAACUGGCAGACUAGAGUACUGUAGAGGGGGUAGAAUUUCAGGUGUAGCGGUGAAAUGCGUAGAGAUCUGAAGGAUACCGGUGGCGAAGGCGGCCCCUGGACAGAUACUGACACUCAGAUGCGAAAGCGUGGGAGCAAACAGGAUUAGAUACCCCUGGUAGCGACUGA